AGAGUUUGAUCCUGGCUCAGGACGAACGCUGGCGGCGUGCCUAAUACAUGCAAGUCGAGCGGACCGAACGAGAGCUUGCUCUUGUUCGGUCAGCGGCGGACGGGUGAGUAACACGUGGGCAACCUGCCCGCAAGACCGGGAUAACUCCGGGAAACCGGAGCUAAUACCGGAUAACACCAAAGACCGCAUGGUCUUUGGUUGAAAGGCGGCUUCGGCUGUCACUUGCGGAUGGGCCCGCGGCGCAUUAGCUAGUUGGUGAGGUAACGGCUCACCAAGGCGACGAUGCGUAGCCGGCCUGAGAGGGUGACCGGCCACACUGGGACUGAGACACGGCCCAGACUCCUACGGGAGGCAGCAGUAGGGAAUCUUCCGCAAUGGACGAAAGUCUGACGGAGCGACGCCGCGUGAGCGAAGAAGGCCUUCGGGUCGUAAAGCUCUGUUGUGAGGGACGAAGGAGCGCUGUUUGAAUAAGGCGGCGCGGUGACGGUACCUCACGAGAAAGCCCCGGCUAACUACGUGCCAGCAGCCGCGGUAAUACGUAGGGGGCGAGCGUUGUCCGGAAUUAUUGGGCGUAAAGCGCGCGCAGGCGGUCCUUUAAGUCUGAUGUGAAAGCCCACGGCUCAACCGUGGAGGGUCAUUGGAAACUGGGGGACUUGAGUGCGGGAGAGGAGAGCGGAAUUCCACGUGUAGCGGUGAAAUGCGUAGAGAUGUGGAGGAACACCGAUGGCGAANGCAGCCCCCUGGGCUGGAAUUGACGCUCAGCACGAAAGCGUGGGGAGCAAACAGGAUUAGAUACCCUGGUAGUCCACGCCCUAACGAUGUCAACUAGGUGUUGGGAGCGCAAGUUCUCAGUACCGCAGCUAACGCGUGAAGUUGACCGCCU
Molecule: ribosomal RNA, 883 nt
Filed under: uncultured bacterium
Lineage: Bacteria
Description: bacterial SSU rRNA
Rfam family: Bacterial small subunit ribosomal RNA
Source: RNAcentral